Molecule: small RNA, 87 nt
Filed under: Klebsiella pneumoniae
Lineage: Bacteria; Pseudomonadati; Pseudomonadota; Gammaproteobacteria; Enterobacterales; Enterobacteriaceae
Description: RtT sRNA
Rfam family: RtT RNA
About the family: This family represents a bacterial cis-regulatory element known as RtT RNA. The exact function of RtT is unknown although it is thought that it may be involved in changing the cellular response in relation to amino acid starvation.
Source: RNAcentral
CGACUCGAGCGAAGCGAGAGAACGUUGCGUCAGCAACGGCCCGCAGGGCGAGCCACGAAGUGGUGAGUCAUCCUCUAUCACCGACCA